Molecule: long non-coding RNA, 5474 nt
Organism: Homo sapiens (human)
Lineage: Eukaryota; Metazoa; Chordata; Mammalia; Primates; Hominidae
Product: long independently transcribed non-coding RNA 2463
Exons: 5
Source: RefSeq, a predicted model, not a curated record
GGCAAGAGACACAGGAUUAUGACCUGUGAAUCAAAGACAAACGCUCACCAAAAUAAUCAACCCUCCCAGGAGCCUUGUACAGCCCAGGAGGAAGAUGCGGAUCCUUAACUCAGUCUGCAACCAGAAUCUUGACAGUCCUGAAAAUGGAAAAGCGUCUGGAGUUUUGGGUACUCCCAAUGCCCCAAUUAUCCUUUUAUUACCCUGAUUUACAACAUAACUUCAUAGGAGACGUUCUGAUGAGCAAAAUGACUUGGGUAACAAAAUGAUCUGGCAAAACCAGCAACUAAGAAAGAAAAAGAAUGGAUUUUCCAGUCUCUUUGACCCCUGAGAUCUCAAAGCCCCUGUGAAGAUCGAUCAGUUGGCAUGGCUGGAUUCAGACUUCCCAGGCCAAGAGGACUUGAAGAAAUGAUCAGAUGAAUCUCAGAAACUCAGAGUUUGAAUAAUAGUUGUCGGUUAUUGCACACUUGCUGUGUGCCAGGCAUGGUGCUCACUGCUGCCCAUGGAUCAUUUCACCUAAUUUCAUCUACCAGCCUGAUAUCUGCACAUGUGAGAACCUGAGACGUAGGGAGUUUGCACGGCUUUAGCUUUCGCAGAAGGAGUAACACAGGGUCAUACCAACUUACUCCAGUUACCAAUUCUGUGACCUCAGGCAAGGACACAAGAAGAUGGCUGUCUACAAGCCAGGAAAAGAUUCUGCACCAGGAACUGGAUCAACUGGCACCUUGAUCUUGGACUUCCCAGCCUCCAGAACUAUGAGAUGAGAAAUAAGUGUCUAUUGUUUAAGCCUCCCAGUCUAUGGUAUUUUGUUAUAGCAACCCAAGAUGACAAAGACAACAAGCCUAAAAUGAAAAAUGGCAAAGUAACCAAGAUGUCCUUCAAGAGGGAAGGACACAUGGAUGGUGACAUGUGGAAGAAGUUACUUAUCCUAACCAGAUGCCCAACACUGAUGAUGUCAUUGAAAUGGAGGAAGACGGAAGCCCACCAAAUCAGGCUGUUUGUUGUCCAAAAAGCCUUUUUCCCUAAGCUUGAAAGCUUAACUUCUCAGAAGCAGGAAGCUGCCUUUUGCCAAGAGUAAAUGGGUGAGAAGUCCAAAGGUCUUGGUUUUGAAGUAUGUGCAACGAAUGUUCAAACAGGUUCUGAACAGAGCCAAAUCUACUUUUCUAUCUCCAAGAAAUCUCGAGAGAGCCAUGGGGCGGAAGUUUCAAGGAACAACGUCUCGUCCCAAACCGCAUGAAAUUGCAUUCCAAUCAGAAGCAUGGCCAAACCCACCAGAACGCAAAACGCAGGGAUGGAAGGACACUGACGACGAUGACCUUGUGAAAUGAGAGAAUUGUCUUGAAAGGGAGCGUUGUUACGGAAGAUGCUGAUUUCGGCAUUCCCUGUCUGAAGUGCUAACUAACCUCAUUGGGUUUUUGCUCUGCACCAGGUACUGAUAUCUAUACUUUUCCUGUGUAUUCACUUACUUGAUACCUGAUGGAGGAGGUAUUUUUCAGAGGAGAAAACUGAGUCAUGGACAAAGUCAGUGACGUGCCCGAGAUCGUUCAUCUAAGAUGUUGCAGAGCUGGGACUUGAACCUAGUUUGUCUGCCUCUGGGAUCUGAGCUGGUAAACAUCACAUGGCACUUUGUGGCUCGUUUGUGACUGGUCCGUCCAUUGGUGGAAAAUGGUUAGAAGUCCUACUCUGUGCCCCUCUGUGUGCCAGUACUUGGAGAUACUUCCUCCAGAUACUUCCCCAUGAAACUUAAUCUGGUGGUGGAAGACAAACAUAAAACAAAUAAUUGAUUUGAGCUCUGAGAAGUGCCACAAAGGCAACGCACAGGUAUAAUGAUGGGGGAGGGAGGGGUGGCACUUGGUCUGGGAAGUAGGGGAAAACUGUCUCUGUAAGGGACAUUUUAUCUCAGACCGGAAGACUGUUGUUAUGGGUUCAAUUCCAUCCUCUUCUCCCCAGCAUUCAUUUGUCAAAGUCCUAGCCCCUAGACCUCAGAAUGUGACCUUAUUUGGAAAUAGUGUUGUUGCUGAUGUAAUUAGUUAAGAUGAGGUUAGAGUAGAGUAGGAUGGGCCCCUGCUAUAAUAUGACUGGUAUCUUUAUAAAAAGGGGAAAUUUAGAGACAGACACACACACACAGGGAGAAGGACAUGAGAACAGGAGGCAGAGAUGAGGCUGGUAUUUCCACAAGCCAAGGAGUGCCAAAAACUGCCAGCAAAUCACCUUCAAAAGGAGCAUGACAUCUUGAUCUUGGACUUUCACAUUCCAGAACUGUGUUUUUAUCCACUCCCAUUGUGGUACCUUGUCAUGGCAGCCCUAGCAAACGAAUGCAGAGGGGAAGGUGCCAGUCAGGUGAGGAGGGAGUGGAGAGUAGGAGAGAGGGAAAAAGAAACAAAACCCAGGAAGAAGAGCUAGCAUGUGCAAAAUCCCCAACGGAGGAAGGAGCGUGACACAUUUGGGAAGGUGGAACCAGGGAGAGGGGAGGGUGGAAGAUGAAGCAGGUGGAACCAGAUUCUGGCGUCUCUAAUACACAACGUGGCAUUUCUAUGAAGGACGAUGUGAAACCAGUGAAGGGUUUUAACCAAGGGGCAACCAUAAUUGGAUCUGAAUUUUAAUAUCAUUGUUCUGUUGCUGUGUGGAAACUGAAUUUUGGGGGUGGUAGGAAAGAAUAAAUGUAGAACAGUUUAGAACCUAUUGUGUUUGUGCCCAGGAGUUUCAGCCGAAUUCUUCAGAUUGGUUAUUCUUCCAAACAGGCCAUUUUCCUCAAGCCAUUUCCCUACUCAGUACUCAGACACAUUCAUUGUUUACAGUGUACCAGGCUCUGAAACUGUGCUAUCCAAUAUGGUAGCCACUGGCCACGUGUGGCUCAUUUAAAUUAAAAUUAAAGACCAGUUGCUCUGUCUCACUGAGACGUGCCUAUGUGCUCCCUAGCCACAUCAUUCACUGAAAGUUCUGUUAGACAGCUCUGGUCUAGGGAAACACAGAGGAACAGGGCAUCAUCCCGUCCUUGUUUUUAGAGCAGUGAAAGAACUCGAGACAACUGGAUUUCGUAGACCAGCAAGAACUUUUUUUGUUUUUAAGUAUACUUUAAGUUUUAGGGUACAUGUGCACAAUGUGCAGGUUUGUUACAUAUGUAUACAUGUGCCAUGUUGGUGUGCUGCACCCAUUAACUCGUCAUUUACAUUAGGUACAUCUCCUAAUGCUACCCCUCCCCCGUCCCCCCACCCCACAACAGGCCCCGGUGUGUGAUGUUCCCCUUCCUGUGUCCAUGUGUUCUCAUUGUUCAAUUCCCACCUAUGAGUGAGAACAUGCGGUGUUUGGUUUUUUGUCCUAGACCAGCAAGAACUUUUAUAAAUACACUGAGAAAAUGAAAAGGCAAUUCACAGAGCUGGAAAAAUAUCUGCACUGCCUAUGACUGGUACGGGGUUCUGUGAAUAAUAUUUUAAGAUCUCCCAAAAUCAGAAAAUGAGAGAACAGUUCAGUAGAAAAAUGCAAGAGACUUGAACAGGGAUUUUCCAAAGGGGAACAUCUGAAUGGUUAAUAAAUAGAUGAAAAGGUACUCAAUCCUAUCAGGAGUCAGAGAAAUGCCCAUUAAAGCUGCAAUAAGAUGCUACCCACACACACCAGAAUGGCUUAGAUGGAAAAGACGAACAAUAUCAGACUAAGGACAUGCACCAGAGUUUCUAGGAUUAAAAGACUAUCCAUACUAAGUGUUGGCAAGGAUGUGGAGUGACUCAAACUCUCACAAGUGUUGGUGAGAGUGUAAUUGGCACAACCUCUUUGGAAAGCAGUUUGGUGUUCUCCACUAAAGACAGGGCGGCUUUAUGAUUUAUUGUCCAAACAAGCUCAUUUUCAGGAAUGAAAGGGGGAAGUGUUCACUGAUUCCAUAGGCAUUGAUUGGGAGAGUCCUUGAACAUACAAUUAACCUAAUCAAAAUAGAUAUUCAUGUGUGUGAUCCAGCAAAUCCACACCUAGGUGUGUAUGUGCAUGUAUAUAUCCAACAGAAAUGUGUGCACAAGUGACAAAAUGUUCUCAGUGGCACUUUUGUAGCAGCUCCAAACUGGCAGCAACCAGAAUGCCCUUCAUGCAGUGCAAUACCGUGCAUCAUCAAAAAUGAAUUGAUCUGUGUGAAAUACGACAACAGGGAGGAAUGUUAGAAAUAUAUUGGGGCCAGGUACAGCGGCUCAUGCCUGUAAUUCCAGCACUGUGGGAGGCCGAGGUGGGCAGAUCGCUUGAGGCCAGGAGUUCGAGACUAGCCUGGGCAACAUGGAAAAACCCUGUCUCUACAAAAAAUACAAAAAUUAGCCACGUGUGGUGGCAUGCAUCUGUGGGCCCAGCUACUUAGGAGUCUGAGGUGGGAGGAUCACCUGAGCCUGGGAGGCAGAGGGUGCAAUGAGCCAAAAUCACAUCACUGCACUCCAGCCUGGGCAAUGGAGUGAGAUCCUGUCGAAAGAAAGAACGAAAGAAAGAAUGAACGAAGGAACGAAAGGAAGGAAGGAAGGAAGAAAGGAAGGAAGGAAGGAAAGGGGAAAGAAAGAAAAAAAAGAAAAGAAAAAUGUUGGACAGAAACACCCAUGUAUGAAAGAGUAUAUCACUUACAAUCCAUUUGGAAUAGAAAACUAAAGGCAGGACUUUGUGUUGGAAAUCAGGGUGGUGUUUUCCUUUGGGGAGGGGGAAGGGGAUGAUGAGAAGUGCUAGCAGAGGGGCUUCUGAGGUGCUGGCAGUAUUUUAUUUUUUGACCUAAAUUGUGGUUACACAGGUAUUCAUUUUGUGAUAGUUCAGCUGUACAGCUAUAUUUUGUGCUCUUUUCUGUAUAUGUGCUAUAUUUCACAAGUAAAAAUCAAUGCAAAGCUAUUAUCUGGGCUUGUCAUAGAGUUGUCAGGUUUUUAUUUCACCUAAUAAGUACAUCUAAUAGAAUAAUGGCUACCUUCCUUUAAAUUCAUCACUUCAUAGGAGAUAAAAAAUUCAACAUCAAAGCAGAAGGGAUAUAAUUUUAAAAUUAAGAACAGAGCUAUAAAAUAAAUUUCUCAUUUUGAAAAACUGACUAGACUGAUGAUGUAACUUUGAUCAUUUCACAGGGAGCCAGUGGAAACGUUUCCACAGACCCAUUUUUGGAAACCUUUGGUUUAGUGGGGUCCCAUCAUCAGUUAUACAAGGCUGCCAAAGUCUCUUCUUUGAAACUAAAGAGGUCUUUUAAAAUAAGCUAGGGAAGUGCAGCGAUUAAACAAGGUCUAGUAGGUUUCCUUGCUGCAGGACUUAUCAGAGCCUUUACCAUACAAAGAUGCACUGUGACUCUCUAGGAGAUGGAUAAAUAAUGGGGCAUUUCCCAACCUCAUUUGCUAACAGAACCAUGUUUCUGUUGAACCAUUUCUAGGGACACGUGGCCAAAGGGACAUACUUUGGGGACCCUAAGCCUAUAGCAGGGGUCAGCAAGCCAAGGUCUAUAGUCUGGAUGCCUGUUUUUAUAAAUAAAGUUUUGUUGGAUCGCA